RNAcentral lists this ribosomal RNA (125 nucleotides) under Bacillus subtilis. Lineage: Bacteria; Bacillati; Bacillota; Bacilli; Caryophanales; Bacillaceae. The record is from RNAcentral.
UUUGGUGGCGAUAGCGAAGAGGUCACACCCGUUCCCAUACCGAACACGGAAGUUAAGCUCUUCAAGCUCUUCAGCGCCGAUGGUAGUCGGGGGUUUCCCCCUGUGAGAGUAGGACGCCGCCAAGC